UCGAAACAGUGCGAGUGAAAGACAUAAACAUCUUCAGUGUACGGAUGAAAUUGCUCCAUGUCGAAAAUCUAAAUUUUCUUUAGAGGAAAUCCAUCUUUAAACCAGUUCCCCAGCAAUUUGCUUGGCUAAAUAAUUUCGUGUCGAAGAUCGUUUUCUGAUUGGAGAACGCGGCGAGACACGCAGCAGCACGGAGCCUGACUGUGCGAGAAAGGCAGGCCGAAACGGGGAACAUGGCAGCGGUUACAAACGAAGCGACUGCCUCCCGCAUCUGGAUUGCUUUGAAACGACUGGACCUUAACGAUGAUGAAGUUACUAUUGUCAAAGAUGUCUGGAUUUCACAAGGGCUAGAUGCUGUUGCUGCUAAGCAGGUUCUCUUUCAUUCCUUCGGGCUAGACAACAGCGUCUUUGUUUUGAAGCUUCGAAACAGCCAAGGUUAUUUGAUUCCAAUUAAUAGUGAACUGAACAUAAACAGCAAACAAACGCCAUAUGUUCUGGAAGUAGUGAAGUUGUUUCAACAUGUUAUGCCCAGACCUCGUAAUGCUACGUUGACGGUUAUCAAUAAAGGUUUGAAGAACAGACUGCAAAGCAUCAUGAAAAGGUUUCAAAAUAACAGAAAAGGAAAAGAGCCCAAGGCAGAAGUUUGGGCACCCUGCAUGAUUGAGAGGUCUGAAAAACUAGUGCCAGAAAUAAAAAUGAAGUGGCAAGACAAGCUAUAUGAGGAAAUGGGGUUGCUGAACCAGAAGCUACAUUUCUUAAAUCAGAGAAUGCAGGGUGACCAAAACUAUACACUGUACUCCGUGUGACCUCUCCACCACUCAGAUAAAUGAAACAUAAUGUCGCAACAUCUUUACUCAUUGCUUUUGACUGAUGAAGGUUGCUGACACCCACAUUUGGAAAGGCAUGUUUAAAUGUCCACCACUUUGGUGAAUUUGCCAGAUCCAGCAUCCAGUUUUCUUUAUAUUUAUCUAAAUACAACAAAGAAGGAAUUUGUCCUUUUUUUUGUGUUAAAUAGCAUAUAGUAAUAAAUCUGCUCUGCAUUUCUGGUUUCUGAAAUUUAGUUUCAUUAACUGGAGGAUUAUAACAUUGCAUGUAAUAGAGGAUGAAUAUAUGGUCUUUGCAAAAUGUACUGUAAAUGUGAUACUACAGGAGUUUUUUUGACUGUUUUGCUGUUAUUCAAGAAAUAUUGUUCUUGCAGGUUCAAAGCAGUAUUUCAAAGAAAUGGAUAAAUGUCAUUCCAGCAUAUAAUGGGUCAAUACAUUUGUUCACAGGACUCAAAACAAAAGUGUCAAUCUAGUGUAAGACAAGUUAGCUGAGGGUGAGUAAGUUUGUGCAACAUUUCUGGGUGCCUUAGGUGACAUUGCUAAGUUUAGCUCCUCAUUUUUUUCUGAUAUAGAUCUCCCUCAAAUGAUGUAAACAGUAGUUCAAUGCACAGAAUGUGUUUGCAGUAGUAGCACUGAGAAAAGAACAAUCUUACAUACUCAGAACAAACACAGUUUCCCCCUGUUGUUUAUAAAGCCAUGGGUCAAUACGUUAUUUGUCCUCGUUAAGAUCCCAGCCCUCCAACAAUCCAAAAAAGAAUAGCCCCACUUGUUUGCCUUGACUGUUUUGUUUAUGGAUAUCGUCGUUAUAUCAUUCAUGUAUUUAAAAUAAUCUCAAUGACAUUUCAGAGUUUCUGGUUUAUUGCUUUCUUAAGAAGGUCAACUAAGUUACAUGCUUAAGGAGAGGGGGUUGCAUUGGACUGAACUCUACCUUCCUCGUGCAGAUAUCUUGCAAGUAGCAGGUCAUCUCUGACUUCUAUGCAUGUGCAAUGCAUUUUAUAAGUCAGGAACACAUCGGAGAUCAGAUGACCCUGUGUAUGGAAUACCAAGAGCCUGCCCCUAACCAUCUUAUCUUGUUACCAACCAUGAUUGUUUGGUAUAACCCAUGAAUAAUGUCACUGACCCGGAUGAAAAAGUUAACUAAAGACAAUUCUGUUUUGUUUCUAUUUUAGUCAAUAAUGAUUUUAAUUAUUACUUAAGAUAUUUUAAUAUCAGAAUUAUAGCUUUUCAGUGUAUUUUAAUGUAUUUUUGUUUAAAUCUAUUAAACAAUAGAUUAAGCAACACACACAAAAUGCUGGAGGAACUCAGCAGGCCAGGCAACAUCUAUGGAAAAGAAUAAACAGUUGACGUUUCGGGUCAAGACCCUUCAGCCUGAAAUGUCCACUGUUUACUCUUUUCCAUAGAUGCUGCCUGGCCUGCUGAGUUCCUCCAAUAUUUUGUGUGUGUUGCUUGGAUUUUCAGCAUCUGGAGAUUUUCUCUCAUUUUUGAUUUUGUUUAUGUAUUUGUUGGCAUCAGACACAUUUGGAAGUAGACUUAUGAAUAUACUGUACAUGCCACAAAAAAUGUCAGAGUAGGCUGGAGGGUUGGCUGGGCAGAAUAAGAACUCAGUAUUUGCAGCAUGUCUGUGUAGUUUUCCUCAUCUUGCAGGAACAAGCGGACAAAGUGGAGCUUUGCCUAAAUUGUAGGCUUGAACUUAUGUUCAUCUAGGGAUCUCCUUGGUAAUUUUGUGGAUCAAAAGCCUGUUAUGGCCCUGGUUUGUCUUUCUAACACUAUCUCUAUUAGGUAUCAAUUUUAUCUGCUGUAUAUGUUUACAUAUAUUGGGAAUUGGCUUUGGUGUGUUGGUGCAACAAACACUAAGAAACACUUUAUUAAAAAUAAAGAAUGAUAUAAAAAUAAAGUUAAGAGUACAGAUAUGGAAUAAAUAUACAUAGAUACAGUACAUCAGUACCAGCAGGUAUUCACAGUGUAAAGUGUUCCCAAUACAACACAGAAAUUGAGGGGAAGGAGGUGGGUGACAAGAAUGAUUGAUCAGAUUAACUGCUUAGAGGAAGAAGCUUUUAAGGUGACAUGAAGUUUUUGUUUUAAUAGCCCAUUAGAGAUUUUCAGAUGGAAGAUCUGGAAAGGUCUGUUUGCUGGGUGGAUAGUGGCCACAAUAAUUUUUCCUACCCGCCUUAUCCUUGACACAAACAAGCUCUGCAGUGAUGAUAAACUGAAGACAACAACCUUUUCUGUUGUGCUGACAGUUAGCUGUAGUUUUUGAAUUUUGUGAGUGGAUGCUUCUCCAAACCAGACAGUAAUGGCUGAUGUGAGGAUGCUCUCCAUGUUGGCAGUGCAGAAUUGCAUCAGUAUGUUUUGGGGAAGAUGGAAUUUUCCCAUCUGCUGCAAGAAGUACAUUUUGUGCCAAGCCGUUUUGUUAACGAAGGAGAUAUGGUUCUCCCACAUGAAUUGAAUUAAAGUGACUUUAUUACUUACAUCCUUCAUAUACAUGAGGAGUAAAAAUCUUUACAUUGGGUCUCCAUCUAAAUGUGCAAUGUGCAAUUUAUAGUAAUUUAUAAUAAGUAGCAUGUACAACAGGGCAGUCAAUAGAAAUACAGUUGUGUCAGCAUGAAUUAAUCAGUCUGAUGGCCUGGUGGAAGAAGCUGUCCUAUUGGUCCUGGCUUUUAUGCUGCGGUACUGUUUCCCUGCUGGUAGCAGCUGGAACAGUUUGUGGUUGGGGUGACUAGGUUCCCCAAAGAUCCUACGGUCCCUUUUUACAUAUCUGUCUUUGUAAAUGUCCUAAAUCAUGGGAAGUUCACAGCACAGAUGUGCUGGGCUGUCUGCACCACUCUCUGCAGAGUCCUGUGGUUGAGGAAAGUACAGUUCCCAUAGCAGGCAGUGAUGCAGCCAGUCAGGAUGCUCUCAAUUGUGCCCCUGUAGAAAAUUCUUAGGAUUUGGGAGCCCACACCAAACUACUUCAACCAUCUGAGGUGAAAGAGCCGCUGUUGUGCUCUUUUCACCACACAGCUGCCGGUAGGAAUAAUGGUACACAGUUCCCUGAAGGUGGAAUCUCAUGUAGAUAGGGUGAUGAAGAAAGCGUUUGGUAUGCUGGCCUUUAUAAAUCAGAGCAUUGAGUAUAGGAGUUGGGAUGUAAUAUUAAAAUUGUACAAGGCAUUGGUAAGGCCGAAUUUGGAGUAUUGUGUACAGUUCUGGUCACCGAAUUAUAGGAAAGAUGUCAACCAAAUAGAGAGAGUACAGAGAAGAUUUAAUAGAAUGUUACCUGGGUUUCAGCACCUAAGUUACAGGGAAAGGUUGAACAAGUUAGGUCUUUAUUCUUUGGAGCGUAGAAGUUUGAGGGGGGACUUGAUAGAGGUAUUUAAAAUUAUGAGGGGGAUAGAUAAAGUUGACGUGGAUAGGCUUUUUCCAUUGAGAGUAGGAGAGAUUCAAACAAGAGGACAUGAGUUGAGAGUUAGGGGGCAAAAGUUUAGGGGUAAUGUGAGGGGGAAUUUCUUGACUCAGAGAGUGGUAGCUGUGUGGAAUGAGCUUCCAGUAGAAGUGGUAGAGGCAGGUUCAAUAUUGUCAUUUAAAGGAAAAUUGGAUAGGUAUACGGACAGGAAAGGAAUGGAGGGUUAUGGGCUGAGAGCAGGUAGAUGGGACUAGAUGAGAGUAAGUGUUCGGCACAGACUAGAAGGGCCGAGAUGGCUUGUUUCCAUGCUGUAAUUGUUAUAUGGUUAUAUGGUACGUACAGACACAUGAGAUCCUCGGAUAUGUUUAUGCUGAAGAACUUAAAGCUAUACACCCUCUUUACCCCAGAUCCAUUGAUGUCAAUAGGAGUUAGCCAGUCUCCAUUCCUCCUGUAGCCCACAGUCAGCUCCUUUGUUUUUGAAACAUUGAGGGAGAGGUUGUUUUCUUGACACCACUGUGUCAGGUGGCUUCUUCUCUGCAGGCUACCUGAUUAUUAUUUGAGAUUAGGCCAGUCAGUGUAGUGUUCUCAGUGAAUUUUAUUAGCAGAUUGGAGCUAUGGGUGGUGA
Molecule: RNA transcript, 4825 nt
Organism: Hypanus sabinus (Atlantic stingray)
Lineage: Eukaryota; Metazoa; Chordata; Chondrichthyes; Myliobatiformes; Dasyatidae
Exons: 12
Source: RefSeq, a predicted model, not a curated record